Sipha flava (yellow sugarcane aphid) is the source of this 1001-nucleotide long non-coding RNA. RefSeq lists it as uncharacterized. Lineage: Eukaryota; Metazoa; Arthropoda; Insecta; Hemiptera; Aphididae. The record is from RefSeq and is a predicted model, not a curated record. The transcript has 5 exons.
UACAUUUUAUAUAUAUAAAAAUGAUAUUUGUAUAAUAUUUUGAUAUAUCCUAUCCUAACUUUAUCUUAACGAUGGGUGCAGCGUUAUGAUUCGGUAACAGAUUUCAUUGAACAAUUUGCAUUUGUAGUUGAAUCAUUAGAAAAUAUUUCUAAUUGGAAUGAUACCACAGCAACGGAAGAUAAUAUACUAUUAAAAGCUAUUGAUUCAGAAUUUCUUAUAUCCUUACAAGUUAUACAAUUGGUUUUUUCUUUUGGUUAACCAUUGUGUAAGUUGCUACAAAAAUAACAAAUUGAUUUGAGAGAAGCAGUAAGCCUUGCUGAAGAUAUUAUAAAUGUAUUAAAAAAUAUCAGGUUAAAUUGUGAUACUGAAUUCCACAAAUUGUUUUUGCUUGCAAAAGAGAUGUCAGUAAUUAUAGAUAUAGACUUGAAUACUAAAAUAAUAUCUGAACGACAAGUAAAUCGAGCAAAUCCAGAUCCCAAUUUAAGUGUUGAAGAGUACCACAAAGUGUCAGUAUUUAUACCCUACUGGACUUUUUUAUACAACAACUAGGAGAAAGAUUUUCAAUCCAUUCUGAAAUUUUUAAAGGAUUUUAAAGUCUAUUUUCCUAUACAUUAACUUCUAAUGAGGAGGUAUAAUUUAGAAAAUUACUUGAAUUUUAUUCACCUUCUUUGGAUGUGAACAACUCAAUUGCAGAAUUGAAAUUGUGGAAGAUAAAACAUGAGCAAAUAAACAAUAUUCCGAAAACUGCACUUGAAGCAUUACAUGUGUGUAAUGCUAAUAUUUAUCCAAAUGUGCAUUUUAUUUUAAAAAUACUAUGCACACUUCUUGUUUCUACAAGUACGCCUGAAAGAAUAUGUUCCAGUCUUAAAAGGAUAAAAACGUAUCUUCGAAACAGUAUGUCCGUGAAAAGACUUAAUGGUCUGGGAAUGUUGGCAAUUCAUAAUGAUAUUACAUUUUCAAAUAAAGAGAUCAUUGAUGAACUUGCCAAAAAGCCUAGGAAU